GAUGAACGCUGGCGGCGUGCCUAAUACAUGCAAGUCGAGCGAACAGACGAGGAGCUUGCUCCUCUGACGUUAGCGGCGGACGGGUGAGUAACACGUGGAUAACCUACCUAUAAGACUGGGAUAACUUCGGGAAACCGGAGCUAAUACCGGAUAAUAUAUUGAACCGCAUGGUUCAAUAGUGAAAGACGGUUUUGCUGUCACUUAUAGAUGGAUCCGCGCCGCAUUAGCUAGUUGGUAAGGUAACGGCUUACCAAGGCAACGAUGCGUAGCCGACCUGAGAGGGUGAUCGGCCACACUGGAACUGAGACACGAUCCAGACUCCGACGGGAGGCAGCAGUAGGGAAUCUUCCGCAAUGGGCGAAAGCCUGACGGAGCAACGCCGCGUGAGUGAUGAAGGUCUUCGGAUCGUAAAACUCUGUUAUUAGGGAAGAACAAAUGUGUAAGUAACUAUGCACGUCUUGACGGUACCUAAUCAGAAAGCCACGGCUAACUACGUG
RNAcentral lists this ribosomal RNA (497 nucleotides) under uncultured bacterium. RNAcentral's name for it is "partial 16S ribosomal RNA". It matches the Rfam family "Bacterial small subunit ribosomal RNA", at positions 28 to 507 of the family's 1533-position model. The record is from RNAcentral.